This is a long non-coding RNA of Drosophila busckii, 2210 nucleotides long. RefSeq lists it as uncharacterized. The transcript is spliced from 6 exons. Lineage: Eukaryota; Metazoa; Arthropoda; Insecta; Diptera; Drosophilidae. The record is from RefSeq and is a predicted model, not a curated record.
AACAUCGAUGUUUAUUUUGGACAAUCGAUGUUUCUAAGGCCAUCACUGUUCCAAGAAUAAGGAAGCGGAAAACACGUUAAAGUGAAUGAUAUUGGUGGUGUAGGCGCGACGCUGCAAAAGUUUUUAACGAUGGAUAAAUUCUUAAACCGUACAACGAAGGAAACGUCUCCGAAAAGGAAGCGAGAAACAUCUUGUGUGUGGCAAGCGGAGGACAAAACAAAGGUCACCUGUGUUCACUGUGGAAAAAUGUUAAAAACGGGGCGAAAUACAACUAACCUAAUCGACCACCUUUAACAGAUUCAUCCAAACUAUAAUACUUAUGAGAUAGAUAAUCAGUCACCGAGGUUAGAUAGUUUUAUGCAACGGAAUAUAGAGCAUCCGUUAGAGUCAAAACAAAAAAAAACAUUGGACAUGUAUGUAAUGCGACUGAUAGCACGGGACGUUCAACCGUUUAGCAUGGUUGAAGAAGAUGGAUUCCGUGACUUGAUGCACCACAUGGACCCGAAAUAUAGAAUGCCGAGCAGACCGUAUUUCAGAGACAUAAUGCUACCUAAGCUAUACAAAGAUUUAAGAAAUAAUCUUGAAUGUGAGCUCGAUGGGGUCCUAUGUAGCAAUUACCACGGAUGGAUGGACUUCCCGUGCCAAUGAAGCCUAUAUCACAGUAACAUGCCAUUUUGUGAAUGAAAAGUUUGAGUUUGUUUCAGCUGCCUUGCCGACGGCGCGUCUUGCAACGCCCACUAAUCACUCAGCUGUGAAUAUUGCUGAUACUCUUCGACAGGUCUUGAAUGAGUGGGGUCUUUUCUUCAUAAAGUUGUAACUAUAGUUACAGAUAACGACAGUACAAUGAAGGCGUGCGAACAUCUGGAAAUUAAACAUUUUCUGUGUUUCGCACACACAAUUUGCUUGAGCAAGAAAUUUUGAAAAUAGACAUAAUUCAACCCGUAUUAAGGAAGUGCAAGACUGUCAUAGCAUUCGUUAAGCGAAGCUCGACUACAAUGGCUAAGUUUAAGGACGCUCAAAAGGUUACCGAACCCCUCGGACUGAUACAGGAGGUACCAACAAGAUGGAACAGUGCCUUUCAAAUGAUUGAUAGAAUUUUAAAUAUCAAUGAGGCACAUUGAGUGGACGCUUCAAAGAUCGGUUUGGGCACUACGAAACACGUACCGUAGCAAGAAUUGCCACAAUGGUAGACACAAGAUUAAAAAACAAGGAUUCCAGAAAACAAGUAAUGCUGAACAAGCAUGUCACGCAUUGGAAGACGAACUUAGAAAUGCUUUGAGCAAAUUGUCACGUGAAAAAUCCACAGCAGAUUCGUUGACGCCUACACCACCCAAUCAACCUGCUCCUUCGAGCUAUUUUACAAUGCUUCAAUUAAAGUUGAAGGCGCAAAUAAGUACAACUCGUGCGGACGCAAUCAUAUUGCUUAGAUAGCAUGUAUAAUGCGAAAAUGAGCCCGAAACAAGCGAUCCCUUAAAUCUUUGGAAGUAGGGGUUGGAAGCUAGGAGGUGGAGAAACAUCGAUGACAUCGGUGUUUUUGAAACAUCGCUAAUAUCGAUGUUUGGUAGGCAACCAUCGAUGUUUUUCCAUCUCUGAGCGCAUUUAAAAGGAACGAUGUGUAAAUUUGUUAGUCGUUGGUGCUGUUGGGUGAUAUAGUGGAGGACAUGGACAGAUAUCUGAAAAGAGUAAAAACUUCUGAUGAGAAUGUGGGGAUAGGGACCCAAAGAGAAACAAACGGGAUGUGUCGGUUGCUUAGGAUUACUUUAGAAAAACUGAGCAAAAAACACAUGGCAUUUUCAACUACUGCGGUAAAGCUAUAAAAACAGCCGGAAACACGACAAACCUUUUAGAUCAUCUAAAACAUGUUUAUCCUGAUCGCCCUAAAGUCAGAAAACCGCAUAAUAAAAUACAAUGGACAAUUAUGUCGGAAAGUCUUUAUCGUUUUAUAGCAAUGAUUCCACUCGAAAACGUCGUUUGGAUAGUGUAAUGAUGAUCAUGAUAGCUGUCGAUGUCCAACCCUUUAGUUGUGUUGAAAAUUUCCAUUUCCUUCGUCAGAUUUAUGAUUUAAUUUAUGAAUGAAAAUGUGAACAUUAUGGAAUAAUGUUCUUCUUUUUAUUUGUAAGCGACUUAUAAUGAAAUAAUAUUAAUUGUUUUAAUUUUCAAUAUUUAUAAGACAGUCAUUAUGGAAUAAUAGCCCUUUUUAUACACUUUGA